CGGGGGAGGCCGGAUCCUGGGCUGUGUCCCGGCGCCCUGUGCUCCGGAGCCUGCGCUGUUGGAUUCGCGCUCCCGGGCCGCGCAACCCCCU
Non-coding RNA from Canis lupus familiaris (dog), 91 nucleotides. The record is from Rfam. NCBI's taxonomy places the organism in Eukaryota, Metazoa, Chordata, Mammalia, Carnivora, Canidae.